GAUAAACGCUGGCGGCGCACAUAAGACAUGCAAGUUGAACGGACUUAAUCUAAAUAUUUAUAUUUUGAAGCGGUUAGUGGCGGACUGGUGAGUAACGCGUAAGGAACUUGCCUUUUAGAGGGGAAUAACAGUGAGAAAUCAUUGCUAAUACCGCAUAUGCCAUAGAUAUCACAUGAUAACAGUUGGAAAGGAGCAAUCCGCUAAUAGAUGGCCUUGCGUAUGAUUAGUUAGUUGGUGGGGUAACGGCCUACCAAGUCGACGAUCAGUAGCCGGACUGAGAGGUUGAGCGGCCAAAUUGGAAGUGAGGUACGGGCCAGGAUCCUACGGGAAGGAGCGGAAGGGUAUAUUACGCAAUGGAGGAAACUCUGACGCAGUGACGCGGCGUAUAGGAAGAAGGUUUUCGGAUUGUAGACUAUUGUCGUUAGGGAAGAGAAAGGACAGUACCUAAGGAGGAAGCUCCGGCUAACUACGUG
Molecule: ribosomal RNA, 473 nt
Filed under: uncultured bacterium
Lineage: Bacteria
Description: partial 16S ribosomal RNA
Rfam family: Bacterial small subunit ribosomal RNA
Source: RNAcentral